This 854-nucleotide ribosomal RNA is filed under the name uncultured bacterium. Its description in RNAcentral is "bacterial SSU rRNA". It matches the Rfam family "Bacterial small subunit ribosomal RNA", at positions 21 to 885 of the family's 1533-position model. The record is from RNAcentral.
GGCUCAGAACGAACGCUGGCGGCGUGCCUAACACAUGCAAGUUGAACGGGGUACAUGAUUGUAGCAAUACAGUGGUGUACUUAGUGGCGGACGGGUGAGUAACACGUAGGUAACCUGCCCUCAGGAGGGGGACAACCCGGGGAAACCCGGGCUAAUACCGCAUAAGACCACAGACUGGGAUGUCCGUGGUAAAAGUAGCGAUACACCUGAGGAUGGGCCUGCGGCCUAUCAGGUAGUUGGUGGGGUAACGGCCCACCAAGCCUAAGACGGGUAGCCGGGCUGAGAGGUUGGACGGCCACACUGGAACUGAGACACGGUCCAGACUCCUACGGGAGGCAGCAGUGGGGAAUUUUGCACAAUGGGCGAAAGCCUGAUGCAGCGACGCCGCGUGGAGGAUGAAGGCCUUCGGGUUGUAAACUCCUUCUGUAGGGGACAAUGAUGAUGGUACCCUAUGAAUAAGCCACGGCUAACUCUGUGCCAGCAGCCGCGGUAAGACAGAGGUGGCGAGCGUUGUUCGGAAUCACUGGGCUUAAAGGGCGCGUAGGUGGUAGUGCAAGUCUGAGGUGGAAUCUUAGGGCUUAACCCUAAAAUUGCCUUGGAAACUGUAUUACUUGAGUCAGUGAGGGGAGGGUAGAAUUCCUGGUGUAGCGGUGAAAUGCGUAGAUAUCAGGAGGAAGGCCGGUGGCGAAGGCGGCCCUCUGGCGCUGAACUGACACUGAGGCGCGAAAGCGUGGGUAGCAAACAGGAUUAGAUACCCUGGUAGUCCACGCCCUAAACGGUGGGUACUAGGUGUAGGGCUUGUAAGGGUUCUGUGCCGAAGCGAAAGCAUUAAGUACCCCGCCUGGGGAGUACGG